Pezoporus flaviventris is the source of this 531-nucleotide long non-coding RNA. RefSeq lists it as uncharacterized. The transcript is spliced from 2 exons. The record is from RefSeq and is a predicted model, not a curated record. Lineage: Eukaryota; Metazoa; Chordata; Aves; Psittaciformes; Psittacidae.
CAUGCUGAAAAUACCUCCACAAAACCUUUUUUUCUCUUUUUCAUUUGGGGGAGUUUUUUGGCUAUUUACAUUUUCAUCUGUGUGAAUAUUCCCUGCAGAAAAUGUGGGCUCUGUUACAAGAAGGGUGCAUGACUGGUGAAGAGGCCAGCAAACUCAAUCCCUGCACAGCCUGGGAAGAGGGUUGGAGAGGACUGCACCUUCGCGUGGGGCCAGAGACCAUUGAAGUAAAGGAUUUAAUACAACAUCAGCCAGGAUAAGUACUACUGGGUACCUUGAUGUCGGACUUAACCUAAAGGUUGUGAGAACAUCCAGUGAAAUGGAGACGGGAACUUGGUGUUCGAAGGUCAAGUUCGCUGACAACUUCACAAAGAUGUUUCUACAUUUCUUUUUGCCCAAGAUACCAACAUUAUACUUUUGAGGAAACAGUUUUGGAAAAUGGCUCUCUGGAGCACUACUAUGCUUCUCUGUGCUUUGGAGUGUAGCAAGGCAGAGCUCACAUCUCAUUUCAGGCAGUGUUUUUCUCAUAAGAGA